Long non-coding RNA from Alosa alosa (allis shad), 4190 nucleotides. RefSeq lists it as uncharacterized. NCBI's taxonomy places the organism in Eukaryota, Metazoa, Chordata, Actinopteri, Clupeiformes, Clupeidae. The transcript has 26 exons. The record is from RefSeq and is a predicted model, not a curated record.
UAUUCUUACCUGCGUUCUACAAUUUUCUGGAACUCAAUCCUGGCAAGAAGUCCACGGCUUCUAGACUGGAUACCAGUGAUGAUGAGAGCGAGACGGUCGUCUCUCAUCUCCUCAAGGACACCCAGGAGACCAGCUUUGAAGAACACCUGAUAAGAGUCAAAACAGGAUCCUGUUGGGGAAGCCCUUUCUGCAGAUCCUGAUGCCUUCCAGCACACCGUUACAGCGCAGCUGGUGCAUGACCAGAGGAUUCUCCAUGGCCCCAGGAGUCUUGGUCUCGUUGGGGAUGAUGCAGCGCACAAAGUGGGGUGUCCUUCUUGACGUCUCCCGGUCCAUGUAGAAAAUUCCAACCCGCUGAUCCAUGUGCAUUUCAUCUGGUCUUCAUCACUCAUGCUGUCUCUGGUCAGCUGUACUUUCAGUACAUCAAGCACAUUGCCUGGUUUUUGGAUUGAAAGCCUAUCAGUGAGGUUUGUUUGAUGGUCUCCUAUUCAUCAAAUAGGAGACCACAGCAUUACCAUUCAAACAAGUGAACUUGGCUUUGAAUAUCAUCAUGCCGGCUCAGCUGCUGAUGCUGUAGAAAGGACCUUGUGGAUGAGCCUUUUUACAGCUUUGACAGUAAAACUGAAUGUGUUCAAAUGGAAGAUUUCUCUGGUCCUUGAGGUGGACUCUCGCAGUUCAAUCUUCAGUGCCAAUAGGUGUAAAAUGACAACUGUUGCUCUCACCUUGCCACCUGCAUCACGACUCUUGGCUCUCAUCUUGUUGACCUGAGACUCCGCUAUAUCAGCUCUCUCCUCAGCCUCAUCCAGCUCAUGCUGAAUCUUGCGGAACUUGCCCAGGACUUGACCUUCAGCUGCAGUUUGUCCACCAGAUCCUGAAGACGGCUCAAAUUCUUUUUGUCCUCUUCAGUCUACAGAUGGGAGUGACCCUUGAGCUGCUUCUGGGCCUCAGAUGCCUGCCUGUUGGCCUGGCUGAGCUGGAUCUCCAUCUCAUUGAGGUCUCCCUCCAUCUUCUUCUUCACCCUGAGAGCCUCAUUCCUGCUGCGAGUCUCAGACUCCAGGGAGGUCUGCAGGGUAUCCACUACUCUCUGCUGGUUCCUCUUGGCUUGCUCCAUCUCCUCAUCCUUCUCAGGCAGUCUGUAUCUCUGCCUUCUCUUGCUCAAGUGUCUUCCUGACCUUCUCAAGCUCAUGGAUGCUCUUCCCAGUCUCACCAAGUUGCUCAGUGAGAUCAGAAAUUUCCUCUGGAAAGUAAACAAAGAUUAGUUAGUUGUGUGAUGUCACUUUAACAAUCAUAUAAGCUUUGUCUUAAGGGAGGAUCAAACAGACCUUGGAGAUUUUUGUUCUCCCUCUUCAUGGUCUCAAGGUGAUCCAGAGAUUCCUCAUAAGAGUUCUUCAGUUUAAAGAGCUCAGUGCCAAGAGAUCUGGACUCUUUCUGAGAACUCUCCAGCUCAGUCUGGGACUCCUCAAACUUUUGCUUCCACUCAGACAAGACCUGUUAAGGUGAAAAUCUUUAAAUAGCAGCAGCAGCAGCAUUGGAUCUCUCCACAUCUACCAUGAGAUCUUCAAUCUCAUUCUGCAGUCUAUGCUUAGUUUUCUCCAGGGAGGAGCAUUUGGCAUUGACAGCCUCCACAGCUUCCUCUGCAUCUUGCAGACGCUGAGCCAGCUUUUUCCUGUGGAAAAAUAAUUGAAAAGGUUAUUAUCACCUGCGUUCUACGAUUUUCUUGAAUUCAACCCUGGCAAUCAUUCCACGGGCUCUAGACUGUAGACCAGUGAUGAUGAGAGCGAGACGGUCGUCUCUCAUCUCCUCAAGGACACCCAGGAGACCAGCUUUGAAGAACACCUGAUAAGAGUCAAAACAGUCUGCAUACUGGAUCCUGUUGGGGAAGCCCUUUCUGCAGAUCCUGAUGCCUUCCAGCACACCGUUACAGCGCAACUGGUGCAUGACCAGAGGAUUCUCCAUGGCCCCAGGAGUCUUGGUCUCGUUGGGGAUGAUGCAGCGCACAAAGUGGGGCCCUUACAAAGCGCUCCUACAUCACAGAUAUCAUCAGAAGUUAUUCUCUCUCUACAAACACAUUUGAAGGCGGGAUCAGGUGGGAUCGGGAAACAAUCCGGGUCCCCGUGGCCCCUUGAGCUUGAUUGGGUGGCAACUGUUGCUCUCACCUUGCCACCGGUAUCACGGCUCUUGGCUCUCAUCUUGUUGACCUGAGACUCAGCUAUAUCAGCUCUCUCCUCAGCCUCAUCCAGCUCAUGCUGCAGCUUGCGGAACUUGCCCAGGACUUGACCUUCAGCUGCAGUUUGUCCACCAGAUCCUGAAGACGGCUCAAAUUCUUUUUGUCCUCUUCAGUCUACAGAUGGGAGAGAGGUUAUUCUUACCUGCGUUCUACAAUUUUCUUGAAUUCAAUCCUGGCAAUCAUUCCACGGGCACUAGACUGUAGACCAGUGAUGAUGAGAGCGAGACGGUCAUCUCUCAUCUCCUCAAGGACACCCAGGAGUCCAGCUUUGAAGAACACCUGAUAAGAGUCAAAACAGUCUGCAUACUGGAUCCUGUUGGGGAAGCCCUUUCUGCAGAUCCUGAUGCCUUCCAGCACACCGUUACAGCGCAGCUGGUGCAUGACCAGAGGAUUCUCCAUGGCCCCAGGAGUCUUGGUCUCGUUGGGGAUGAUGCAGCGCACAAAGUGGGGGUUUGUUUCAUGGUCUCCUAUUAUGAAAAGGUGACCUUUGACCCCUCACAAAGAACCACAGCACUACCACUGAAACAAGUGAACCUGGCUUUGAACAUCACCAUGCCUACUCAGCAGCUGAAAGCACCUUGACACAAUCCCUUAGAUCUCCUUAGAGAAUCUCGGUUGAACAGCAGCCAACAGACUUCUCCUCUGUAGUGUGCACAGCCAUUUCAGUGAAGGAUCAGCCAAGCACAAGCACAAUGAUGUGAAAAGAUUUUUAUUGUUUUUUACCCCUGCAGUAUAUGGAUUCACUUAAUUUAAGGUCAAGAACCUUGUGGAUGAGUCUUUUGACAGCUUUUACAGCAAAACUGAGAGAGCUCAUUUCUCUAGUCCUUGAGGUGGACCCCCACAGUUCAAUACCAAAACAACAGAUCUCAAGGUGUUACAGUUUGUUUGAUGGUCUCCUAUUGUGAAAAAGUGACCUUUGACCCCUCACAAAGAAUCACAGCAUUACCAUUCAACCAAGUGAACUUGGAUUUGAACAUCAUCAUGCCGGCUCAGCUGCUGAUGCUGUAGAAAGAACCUUGUAGAUGAGCCUUUUUACAGCUUUGACAGUAAAACUGAAAGUGCUCAAAUGGAAGAUUUCUCUGGUCCUUGAGGUGGACCCUCGCAGUUCAAUCUUCAGUGCCAAUAGGUGUAAAAGACUUGACCUUCAGCUGCAGUUUGUCCACCAGAUCCUGAAGACGGCUCAAAUUCUUUUUGUCCUCCUCAGUCUACAGAUGGGAGAGAGGUUAUUCUUACCUGCGUUCUACAAUUUUCUGGUACUCAAUCCUGGCAAUCAUUCCACGGGCUCUAGACUGUAGACCAGUGAUGAUAAGAGCGAGACGGUCGUCUCUCAUCUCCUCAAGGACACCCAGGAGACCAGCUUUGAAGAAGACCUGAUAAGCGUCAAAACAGUCAGCAUACUGGAUCCUGUUGGGGAAGCCCUUUCUGCAGAUCCUGAUGCCUUCCAGCACACCGUUACAGCGCAGCUGGUGCAUGACCAGAGGAUUUUCCAUGGCCCCAGGAGUCUUGGUCUCGUUGGGGAUGAUGCAGCGCACAAAGUGGGGGUGAGUUGACCUCAAGUUGGUCAUCAGCUUGUUCAGAUUCUCCUGUUGUUCAGCCAUUUAAAUAAAAACAAAAAGCAAUAGGACUGCACAGAAUCCCAGUGGGCUCAUUGAUCUAAAUAUACUUAAAAGAAAGAUAUGUGGUACUAAUAAAUACCUUCACUUAGUAUGUUAAUUUAACCUGUCACACUUACCCUGUGAAGGGCAGAUACAGUCUGGAAAGAAGAACCCUUCUUCUUCUUGGCACCAGCCUCUUGGGCUAUUAAAAUAUCACAUGUCCAUCAGCUCUUCUCAUAAACAUGAUGUUAAUUCAUUAAUGUCACAGGAAUAGUUUGUAAGAUAUUUACAGAAUACCUGCAUCAGCACCAGCAUAGUUGGCGAAGAGAGCACACAACAUUUUAAGAUUUGACUUCUGGAAGAGUCCGACC